GAUGAACGCUGGCGGCGUGCCUAAUACAUGCAAGUCGAACGAAGCACAUAUGUGCUUAGUGGCGAACGGGUGAGUAAAAGAUAAGUAACCUGCCCUUGACAGGGGGAUAACGAUCGGAAACGAACGCUAAGACCGCAUAGGUAAUUAAGUUGCAUGACUUAAUUAUUAAAUAUCCUACGGGAUAGGUGAAGGAUGGACUUAUCACGCAUUAGCUAGUUGGAGAGGUAACGGCUCCCCAAGGCGACGAUGCGUAGCCGGCCUGAGAGGGCGGACGGCCACACUGGGACUGAGACACGGCCCAG
Molecule: ribosomal RNA, 302 nt
Filed under: uncultured bacterium
Lineage: Bacteria
Description: bacterial SSU rRNA
Rfam family: Bacterial small subunit ribosomal RNA
Source: RNAcentral